RNAcentral lists this ribosomal RNA (477 nucleotides) under uncultured bacterium. RNAcentral describes it as "partial 16S ribosomal RNA". It matches the Rfam family "Bacterial small subunit ribosomal RNA", at positions 30 to 507 of the family's 1533-position model. The record is from RNAcentral.
AUUGAACGCUGGCGGCAUGCCUUACACAUGCAAGUCGAACGGUAACAGGUUAAGCUGACGAGUGGCGAACGGGUGAGUAAUACAUCGGAACGUGCCCAGUAGUGGGGGAUAGCCCGGCGAAAGCCGGAUUAAUACCGCAUACGACCUAAGGGUGAAAGGGGGGGAUCGCAAUACCUCUCGCUAUUGGAGCGUCCGAUGUCAGAUUAGCUCGUUGGUGGGGUAAAAGCUCACCAAGGCGACGAUCUGUAGCUGGUCUGAGAGGACGAUCAGCCACACUGGGACUGAGACACGGCCCAGACUCCUACGGGAGGCAGCAGUGGGGAAUGUUGGACAAUGGGGGCAAGCCUGAUCCAGCCAUGCCGCGUGCGGGAAGAAGGCCUUCGGGUUGUAAACCGCUUUUGUCAGGGAAGAAAUCCUUUGGGUUAAUACCUCGGGGGGAUGACGGUACCUGAAGAAUAAGCACCGGCUAACUACGUG